UGGCGCUCGAGCUCAAGCUGACUGCCGCCAGCCAGCAGCGCUCGCCGCUGGUGCGUCUGACGGGCCUCCUGCUGAGCACGGCUCCGGCCGCCGGGCUGCAGCUCGACCUCACCGGCAUGGACAUCUCGCUCACGCUCAGCCAGACCCUGACCGGCGCCACCGCCGGCAAACCGUCGUCCACGCAGCAGCGCAAGAUCCUGGCGCUGCUGGACCAGGUCAGCUUCAGCCACGAGCCGGUGGUGCCGCCCAACUGGCAGUACUUCGUGCCGGCCAAGGUGGAGGAGGU
Pollicipes pollicipes is the source of this 286-nucleotide long non-coding RNA. RefSeq lists it as uncharacterized. The record is from RefSeq and is a predicted model, not a curated record. Lineage: Eukaryota; Metazoa; Arthropoda; Thecostraca; Pollicipedomorpha; Pollicipedidae. The transcript has 3 exons.